This 1375-nucleotide long non-coding RNA is filed under the name Cervus hanglu yarkandensis (Yarkand deer). Its description in RNAcentral is "lncRNA (ENSCHYG00000007512.1)". Lineage: Eukaryota; Metazoa; Chordata; Mammalia; Artiodactyla; Cervidae. The record is from RNAcentral.
AUGGGUGUAAACCCCCAGAUCUUCCCCAGUGCUGAGGUUCUGGACACUGGCUGGGCCCCUGGGGAUCUGGCUAUCUGCUCCCAGCACAGGCUAUCCAUAUGUUUCAGCACUCAGACCUCUGGAGGAAUUGGCCCUCUGCUGACCAAGGUGAUGGCCGUCACUCAGGGCCUUGAGGGGAGCCCAAGGAACUGGGGGAUAUUCACUUCAGGCUCAGAGGCAGUAGAAUUCAGAAACCCAGAGCUCCUGAGAGCUUGUCAAUGGCCUCUGGCAGAAAAGGCAUCUUCCCCCACAGAGUCCCCAGCGCCAUAUUUAAAUGUCCCUGAGCGUCUGCUCGGUAUGUUAUGUUCAUGGGCAUUAGGAACCAGCAUGUGACAGAGCGUCUGUGAACUGAAGAAAUGCUACAAAGAGCGAGUUCUUCUCUAUAAAGAGGUUUGGCUUUGCCUUCCUCAGAGCCCCCCACUACCACCAUAGGUGUCCCUGUGUCGGUCACCUCCUGAUUGUCGGCAUCUCCUGAUUCCAGAAAGCAUGCAGCUGGGUCUCCCUUGGCCACGUGCUUUCCAAGCUGAAAAAUCUGCAAGGAAGUGGGAAAGCGGAGUUCUUCCCCAAGUCGUAAUGUCUUUAUUGAUCUGGUCACAUAAAUUAUUUUUUUUUAAUUCACCAGAAAUAAACUUGUAAAGGACUGAACCCGUGUGAAAGUCUCAUGGGAAUGGGAGGAACAUGGACGAGAGGAAGAGGAGACUGUGUCUUUAUCAUGUGAGAGAAACUCCCCUUUGAGCACUAGCUCUAUAGUCACCAGCUUGUGUUAGAGGAGGGGAGAGAGAGAGUGAGUGAGUGAGUGAGUAAGUGUGUGUGUGAGAGAGAGAGAGAGAGACCGAGGCAAAGCCACAGGGAACCACUGAAUUCCAUACAGCAUUGUUGACUCUGGAGGAAAUUCAAAUAAGAAAUAGACCCUAAGUAGAAAGAUGCUAUUAUCUUCCUCUUAAAGAAGCAGGGCCCCAGACAAGGAGCUCAGGCCGUGGGACCACACACAUCCCCUGAUGCGAAGGUUGCAUAGCUUGAUGCACUGUGCAGAUGUUCUUCUGCGAACCUGACUCGGAGCCUGACCCCGGAAGGAUCAUUUUACCUUCAACAGCCGAGGCAGAAAGGCAGCCUCCAGAGAUUGUGACCCCUCCUUCCUGUAGAGAGUGGGCACACAGGUUGUUUGGCCAGAGUCCUUGUUUGGGGGAACCAGACUUGGGGAAACUGUGCGGCAUUUCUAGUCUGUGAGAGGGUAAUGUCAAAAAAUCACCAUAGCGACGGAGAGAGUGUCACCACUAUGUCUGACAGCUAAGAGGAUUUUCCCUCUUAAAAUGGUGAUUUAGAAUCACUAAGCCCA